UAGAAGCCGAUGAAGGACGUUACUAACGACGAUAUGCUUUGGGGAGCUGUAAGUAAGCUUUGAUCCAGAGAUUUCCGAAUGGGGAAACCCAGCAUGAGUUAUGUCAUGUUAUCGAUAUGUGAAUACAUAGCAUAUCAGAAGGCACACCCGGAGAACUGAAACAUCUUAGUACCCGGAGGAAGAGAAAGAAAAUUCGAUUCCCUUAGUAGCGGCGAGCGAAACGGGAAGAGCCCAAACCAACAAGCUUGCUUGUUGGGGUUGUAGGACACUCUAUACGGAGUUACAAAGGACGACAUUAGACGAAUCAUCUGGAAAGAUGAAUCAAAGAAGGUAAUAAUCCUGUAGUCGAAAAUGUUGUCUCUCUUGAGUGGAUCCUGAGUACGACGGAGCACGUGAAAUUCCGUCGGAAUCUGGGAGGACCAUCUCCUAAGGCUAAAUACUCUCUAGUGACCGAUAGUGAACCAGUACCGUGAGGGAAAGGUGAAAAGCACCCCGGAAGGGGAGUGAAAUAGAACCUGAAACCGUGUGCUUACAAGUAGUCAGAGCCCGUUAAUGGGUGAUGGCGUGCCUUUUGUAGAAUGAACCGGCGAGUUACGAUUUGAUGCAAGGUUAAGCAGUAAAUGUGGAGCCGUAGCGAAAGCGAGUCUGAAUAGGGCGUUUAGUAUUUGGUCGUAGACCCGAAACCAGGUGAUCUACCCUUGGUCAGGUUGAAGUUCAGGUAACACUGAAUGGAGGACCGAACCGACUUACGUUGAAAAGUGAGCGGAUGAACUGAGGGUAGCGGAGAAAUUCCAAUCGAACCUGGAGAUAGCUGGUUCUCUCCGAAAUAGCUUUAGGGCUAGCCUCAAGUGAUGAUUAUUGGAGGUAGAGCACUGUUUGGACGAGGGGCCCCUCUCGGGUUACCGAAUUCAGACAAACUCCGAAUGCCAAUUAAUUUAACUUGGGAGUCAGAACAUGGGUGAUAAGGUCCGUGUUCGAAAGGGAAACAGCCCAGACCACCAGCUAAGGUCCCAAAAUAUAUGUUAAGUGGAAAAGGAUGUGGCGUUGCCCAGACAACUAGGAUGUUGGCUUAGAAGCAGCCAUCAUUUAAAGAGUGCGUAAUAGCUCACUAGUCGAGUGACACUGCGCCGAAAAUGUACCGGGGCUAAACAUAUUACCGAAGCUGUGGAUUGUCCUUUGGACAAUGGUAGGAGAGCGUUCUAAGGGCGUUGAAGCAUGAUCGUAAGGACAUGUGGAGCGCUUAGAAGUGAGAAUGCCGGUGUGAGUAGCGAAAGACGGGUGAGAAUCCCGUCCACCGAUUGACUAAGGUUUCCAGAGGAAGGCUCGUCCGCUCUGGGUUAGUCGGGUCCUAAGCUGAGGCCGACAGGCGUAGGCGAUGGAUAACAGGUUGAUAUUCCUGUACCACCUAU
Molecule: ribosomal RNA, 1409 nt
Filed under: Staphylococcus aureus
Lineage: Bacteria; Bacillati; Bacillota; Bacilli; Caryophanales; Staphylococcaceae
Description: partial 23S ribosomal RNA
Rfam family: Bacterial large subunit ribosomal RNA
Source: RNAcentral